GCCUACAACUGUACCACUCUGAAUGCACCUGAUCUUGGAAGCUAAGCAGGGUUGGGCUUGGUUAGUACUUGGAUGAGAGAAAACCUGGGAAAACCAGGUGCUGUAGGCU
This 109-nucleotide ribosomal RNA is filed under the name Neotoma lepida (desert woodrat). The record is from RNAcentral. Lineage: Eukaryota; Metazoa; Chordata; Mammalia; Rodentia; Cricetidae.